This 70-nucleotide transfer RNA is filed under the name Doru luteipes. Its description in RNAcentral is "tRNA-Leu". The record is from RNAcentral. Lineage: Eukaryota; Metazoa; Arthropoda; Insecta; Dermaptera; Forficulidae.
UUCGAGAUGGCAGAGGAUAAGUGCCUUGGAUUUAAGCUCCAAAUACGGACCAAAGGUGGUCCUUUCGAAA